GGGCCUGUAGUAUAAUGGUAAUACGGAUCCAUGGCAUGGAUUAGUCGAGGGUUCGAUUCCCUCCAGGUCCACCA
RNAcentral lists this transfer RNA (74 nucleotides) under Candidatus Doudnaibacteriota bacterium. RNAcentral's name for it is "Candidatus Doudnabacteria bacterium tRNA-Ala". It matches the Rfam family "tRNA". Rfam says of the family: Transfer RNA (tRNA) molecules are approximately 80 nucleotides in length. Their secondary structure includes four short double-helical elements and three loops (D, anti-codon, and T loops). Lineage: Bacteria; Candidatus Doudnaibacteriota. The record is from RNAcentral.